UACGGGGGGGGCAAGCGUUGUUCGGAAUUACUGGGCGUAAAGGGCUCGUAGGUGGCCAACUAAGUCGGACGUGAAAUCCCUCGGCUUAACCGGGGAACUGCGUCCGAUACUGGUUGGCUUGAGUUUGGGAGAGGGAUGCGGAAUUCCAGGUGUAGCGGUGAAAUGCGUAGAUAUCGGGAGGAACACCAGUGGCGAAGGCGACUACCUGGCCUGUUCUUGACGCUGAGGCGCGAAAGCUAGGGGAGCAAACGGG
This 253-nucleotide ribosomal RNA is filed under the name uncultured bacterium. Its description in RNAcentral is "partial 16S ribosomal RNA". It matches the Rfam family "Bacterial small subunit ribosomal RNA", at positions 524 to 776 of the family's 1533-position model. The record is from RNAcentral.